This 663-nucleotide ribosomal RNA is filed under the name uncultured Alphaproteobacteria bacterium. Its description in RNAcentral is "bacterial SSU rRNA". It matches the Rfam family "Bacterial small subunit ribosomal RNA", at positions 1 to 701 of the family's 1533-position model. Lineage: Bacteria; Pseudomonadati; Pseudomonadota; Alphaproteobacteria. The record is from RNAcentral.
AGGAAGGUUUGAUCCUGGCUCAGAACGAACGCUGGCGGCAGGCCUAACACAUGCAAGUCGAACGAGCUGGGACCUUCGGGUCCCGAUGCUAGUGGCGCACGGGUGAGUAACACGUGGGAACCUACCCUAUAGUACGGAAUAACUGAGGGAAACUUUGGCUAAUACCGUAUACGCCCUUCGGGGGAAAGAUUUAUCGCUAUAGGAUGGGCCCGCGUCUGAUUAGGUAGUUGGUGAGGUAACGGCUCACCAAGCCGACGAUCAGUAGCUGGUCUGAGAGGAUGAUCAGCCACACUGGGACUGAGACACGGCCCAGACUCCUACGGGAGGCAGCAGUGGGGAAUAUUGGACAAUGGGCGCAAGCCUGAUCCAGCCAUGCCGCGUGAGUGAAGAAGGCCUUCGGGUUGUAAAGCUCUUUCGGCGGGGACGAUGAUGACGGUACCCGCAUAAGAAGCCCCGGCUAACUUCGUGCCAGCAGCCGCGGUAAUACGAAGGGGGCUAGCGUUGUUCGGAAUUACUGGGCGUAAAGCGAACGUAGGCGGUGUUCCAUGUCAGAGGUGAAAGCCUGGGGCUCAACUCCAGAAUUGCCUUUGAAACGGGGACGCUUGAGUCCCGAGAGAGGAUGGCGGAAUUCCUAGUGUAGAGGUGAAAUUCGUAGAUAUUAGG